RNAcentral lists this long non-coding RNA (457 nucleotides) under Glycine max (soybean). Its description in RNAcentral is "long non-coding RNA (GMAX_LNC000765)". The record is from RNAcentral. Lineage: Eukaryota; Viridiplantae; Streptophyta; Magnoliopsida; Fabales; Fabaceae.
CUAGAUCUGAGGUGUGGAGCUUGGUCAGAUUCUCGAAUAUUUUGACGUGGAUUUCGCUAAAAAGAACCACGCCAAGGUAGUGCAGCUCCACCACAUGGUCGUGCUCGCAUUGAAACCAUGCCUAGUUGCAGGGGCUCUCCCUCGUCGACGUAUUCUAAAAGAGAUUUGCACCCUCCCCCUAGUUGAAUGGAGAGCAAACUAUGUGUCUCACUUUGACACAAAAUUCUUGCAGCGAAGGAAAGGCAAGGAGGGAUCGAUCGAGUUUUGCUAUGGUUUUGGCGAUAGAACGGAGCUUUGGGAGUGCGAGAUUUUCCUCCUUCUAGGGUUCGUACCAUGAGAGGUUGGCUUUUUUGGGAAGCAAAAUUCGAAGUUACAUUAUAUGAUUGAGGUUUUUAUUUUUAGUGUCUAUUGCUUCUUCGUUUCAGUGAGGAGACAAGUGAAAUAAGGAAGAAAUUAA